UCUGGUGACCAUGGCGGAGGGGAUCCACGCGUUCCCAUUCCGAACACGACCGUUAAGCCCUCCAGCGCCGAUGGUACUUGGACCGAAGGGUCCCGGGAGAGUAGGACGUUGCCAGGC
This 117-nucleotide ribosomal RNA is filed under the name Thermobacillus sp. ZCTH02-B1. The record is from RNAcentral. Lineage: Bacteria; Bacillati; Bacillota; Bacilli; Caryophanales; Paenibacillaceae.